Molecule: ribosomal RNA, 301 nt
Filed under: uncultured bacterium
Lineage: Bacteria
Description: partial 16S ribosomal RNA
Rfam family: Bacterial small subunit ribosomal RNA
Source: RNAcentral
CAGUCGCCGCGGUAAUACGUAGGGUGCAAGCGUUGUCCGGAAUUAUUGGGCGUAAAAAGCUCGUAGGCGGUUUGUCGCGUCUGCUGUGAAAUCCCGAGGCUCAACCUCGGGCUUGCAGUGGGUACGGGCAGACUAGAGUGCGGUAGGGGAGAUUGGAAUUCCUGGUGUAGCGGUGGAAUGCGCAGAUAUCAGGAGGAACACCGAUGGCGAAGGCAGAUCUCUGGGCCGUAACUGACGCUGAGGAGCGAAAGCGUGGGGAGCGAACAGGAUUAGAUACCCCAGUAGUCCCUGUCUCUUAUAC